CCCAAAGCGUACUCUAAGAACCGGGUCUGGGUACCCUUGCCCCUGGAGGGGGAAACUGCACCCAGACCCAGGUGGUGUUACCCUUUUCCCUGCGGUGGGGAGAAGCAGACCGCCCCGACUCCGUAAUAGACGCCCAGGCUGAGAUCUUCCUCCACCUCUCCUGUAUCUCCCCCUCCUGCAGAGAGAGUUCCUGAAGAGAGGAAGGCUCCUGCAAGAUGUGACAACCUCCCCACCAGUUGAAGAGCCCCCAGGUGGCUCGAUGCACCAGCGGCACCCUGCGCCAGGACCGGGCCCCCAUACACCCACCCGCCCACAACCCCGGCAACACACCAACCAGGACCCAGGCCCCUGAGGCCCGGCCAGGGCCCCAGCCCAGAGACGGAACGCCCCCAGAACCUCACGCCCAUCCCAGACCCACCCAGGGGCAGCCAGGCUACCAGGACAUGACUGAGGCCACUGCACUGAGUGCCAUAGAGAAAACAACAGUGGGCAUCUAUGUCUCCAGAGACACACCAGGCAAUUACUCUUUUGAUGUUGGCAUCAUCAUCGAGGGUGUGGUGGUUCUUAAGGACCUGGAUAAUGUGGCCACUGCAGUAGCCAUGCUUUUCGGACUGCUUUACUCUGUCAACAUGAGUUACCCAUCACAGCUCCGCUACACCUUUGAAGUGAUUCAGAAGGUGGUAAUGGGAUUGGAUGCAACUGAACUCUCAAGAAAAGCACAAAACUUUAAGACAAAACUACUCAUGUAAGCAAUGUUCACUGUUGCUGUGCACUCAAGGUGUUUAGCUCUCUCACUGGUUCUCCUGCAUUUUGGACGUUCAAUUUCCAAGACAAAUCAUUGUUGUGUACUGUGUAACUGCCUGUUUUGUUUUUUUCUUUUCCUUUUUGCUCUCUGUACAAGUUUUCUAAUUGGCAGCAUUUUUACAUUUUGGUUUAUUUGUUUUCGAAAGUGAAGAAAUGUAGUUGUUCAGCCUAAGUAGUCCCA
Molecule: long non-coding RNA, 985 nt
Organism: Oreochromis aureus
Lineage: Eukaryota; Metazoa; Chordata; Actinopteri; Cichliformes; Cichlidae
Source: Ensembl